ACGUAGUUAGCCGGUGCUUAUUCUUUAGGUACCGUCAUCACUAGUCUUUAUUAAAAAACUAGCUUUUCUUCCCUAACAAAAGUACUUUACAACCCUAAGGCCUUCUUCAUACACGCGGCAUGGCUGGAUCAGGGUUCCCCCCAUUGUCCAAAAUUCCCCACUGCUGCCUCCCGUAGGAGUCUGGGCCGUGUCUCAGUCCCAGUGUGGCGGAUCGUCCUCUCAGACCCGCUACGGAUCAUCGCCUUGGUGAGCCAUUACCUCACCAACUAGCUAAUCCGACAUCGGCCGAUCAAAUAGCGUAAGGCCUUGCGGUCCCCUACUUUCCUCCUUAGAGCUUAUGCGGUAUUAGCCAAACUUUCGCUUGGUUAUCCCCCAUACUUGGCACGUUCCGAUGCUAUACUCACCCGUUCGCCACUCGCCGACAGAGAAGCAAGCUUCUCUUCGCUGCCGUUCGACUUGCAUGUGUAAAGCAUGCCGCAGCGUUCAAUCUGAGCCAGGAUCAAACUCUCUA
RNAcentral lists this ribosomal RNA (511 nucleotides) under uncultured Neisseriaceae bacterium. RNAcentral describes it as "partial 16S ribosomal RNA". Lineage: Bacteria; Pseudomonadati; Pseudomonadota; Betaproteobacteria; Neisseriales; Neisseriaceae. The record is from RNAcentral.